AUUUAUUGGGUUUAAAGGGAGCGUAGGUGGACAGUUAAGUCAGUUGUGAAAGUUUGCGGCUCAACCGUAAAAUUGCAGUUGAUACUGGCUGUCUUGAGUACAGUAGAGGUGGGCGGAAUUCGUGGUGUAGCGGUGAAAUGCUUAGAUAUCACGAAGAACUCCGAUUGCGAAGGCAGCUCACUGGACUGCAACUGACACUGAUGCUCGAAAGUGUGGGUAUCAAACAGGAUUAGAUACCCUGGUAGUCCACACAGUAAACGAUGAAUACUCGCUGUUUGCGAUAUACAGUAAGCGGCCAAGCGAAAGCAUUAAGUAUUCCACCUGGGGAGUACGCCGGCAACGGUGAAACUCAAAGGAAUUGACGGGGGCCCGCACAAGCGGAGGAACAUGUGGUUUAAUUCGAUGAUACGCGAGGAACCUUACCCGGGCUUAAAUUGCAUUUGAAUAAUCUGGAAACAGGUUAGCCGCAAGGCAAAUGUGAAGGUGCUGCAUGGUUGUCGUCAGCUCGUGCCGUGAGGUGUCGGCUUAAGUGCCAUAACGAGCGCAACCCUUAUCUUUAGUUACUAACAGGUCAUGCUGAGGACUCUAGAGAGACUGCCGUCGUAAGAUGUGAGGAAGGUGGGGAUGACGUCAAAUCAGCACGGCCCUUACGUCCGGGGCUACACACGUGUUACAAUGGGGGGUACAGAAGGCAGCUACCUGGUGACAGGAUGCUAAUCCCAAAAGCCUCUCUCAGUUCGGAUUCGAAGUCUGCAACCCGACUUCGUGAAGCUGGAUUCGCUAGUAAUCGCGCAUCAGCCAUGGCGCGGUGAAUACGUUCCCGGGCCUUGUACACACCGCCCGUCAAGCCAUGAAAGC
This 858-nucleotide ribosomal RNA is filed under the name uncultured Bacteroidota bacterium. RNAcentral's name for it is "bacterial SSU rRNA". It matches the Rfam family "Bacterial small subunit ribosomal RNA", at positions 549 to 1411 of the family's 1533-position model. Lineage: Bacteria; Pseudomonadati; Bacteroidota. The record is from RNAcentral.